GACGAACGCUGGCGGCGUGCCUAAUACAUGCAAGUCGAGCGAAGUUUUUUUUGGUGCUUGCACUAGAAAAACUUAGCGGCGAACGGGUGAGUAACACGUAAAGAACCUGCCUUAUAGACUGGGACAACUAUUGGAAACGAUAGCUAAUACCGGAUAACAGCAUUAACUGCAUGGUUGAUGUUUAAAAGUUGGUUUUGCUAACACUAUGAGAUGGCUUUGCGGUGCAUUAGCUAGUUGGUGGGGUAAAGGCCUACCAAGGCGACGAUGCAUAGCCGACCUGAGAGGGUGAUCGGCCACACUGGGACUGAGACACGGCCCAGACUCCUACGGGAGGCAGCAGUAGGGAAUCUUCCGCAAUGGGCGAAAGCCUGACGGAGCAACGCCGCGUGAGUGAAGAAGGAUUUCGGUUCGUAAAGCUCUGUUGUUAGGGAAGAAUGAUUGUGUAGUAACUAUACACAGUAGAGACG
RNAcentral lists this ribosomal RNA (467 nucleotides) under Gemella haemolysans. Its description in RNAcentral is "bacterial SSU rRNA". It matches the Rfam family "Bacterial small subunit ribosomal RNA", at positions 28 to 474 of the family's 1533-position model. Lineage: Bacteria; Bacillati; Bacillota; Bacilli; Caryophanales; Gemellaceae. The record is from RNAcentral.